Molecule: ribosomal RNA, 294 nt
Filed under: uncultured bacterium
Lineage: Bacteria
Description: partial 16S ribosomal RNA
Rfam family: Bacterial small subunit ribosomal RNA
Source: RNAcentral
UAGGGAAUCUUCCACAAUGACGCAAGUCUGAUGGAGCAACGCCGCGUGAGUGAAGAAGGUUUUCGGACCGUAAAGCUCUGUUGUUGGUGAAGAAGGAUAGAGGUAGUAACUGGCCUUUAUUUGACGGUAAUCAACCAGAAAGUCACGGCUAACUACGUGCCAGCAGCCGCGGUAAUACGUAGGUGGCAAGCGUUGUCCGGAUUUAUUGGGCGUAAAGCGAGCGCAGCGGAAGAAUAAGUCUGAUGUGAAAGCCCUCGGCUUAACCGAGGAAUUGCAUCGGAAACUGUUUUCUUG